UAUGUGAUUAUGUUAAAAGUAAGUAUCUCUCUCCUAUGUGAGAGUUAUAUUUUGUUGUUCUUGUUUGUUCAUGGUGGUUUGCUUUUCCAAAUUUUGGCUCGUAUAUCCUUACUUAUUCCAUUUGCAUCUCUUCUCCCACUUCACUUCAACCAUCACACCUCUCUCACAUCAUUCUCCUUAUCAUCUCCCCUCCUCACCCACACAUGAGUUCUUUCUUCUACCCCUCCCAUGAGAUCUGAA
RNAcentral lists this long non-coding RNA (240 nucleotides) under Prunus persica (peach). RNAcentral describes it as "long non-coding RNA (PPER_LNC007330)". Lineage: Eukaryota; Viridiplantae; Streptophyta; Magnoliopsida; Rosales; Rosaceae. The record is from RNAcentral.